UCGCUCCUACCGAUUGAGUGAUCCGGUGAAUAAUUCGGACUGCUGCCAUUUUCAGUUCCUGAGAUUGGCGGUGGGAAGUCUAGUGAACCUUAUCACUUAGAGGAAGGAG
RNAcentral lists this ribosomal RNA (109 nucleotides) under uncultured eukaryote. RNAcentral's name for it is "partial small subunit ribosomal RNA". It matches the Rfam family "Eukaryotic small subunit ribosomal RNA", at positions 1676 to 1785 of the family's 1831-position model. The record is from RNAcentral.